Molecule: long non-coding RNA, 508 nt
Organism: Papaver somniferum (opium poppy)
Lineage: Eukaryota; Viridiplantae; Streptophyta; Magnoliopsida; Ranunculales; Papaveraceae
Exons: 3
Source: RefSeq, a predicted model, not a curated record
CAACUCGGAGAAGGGACUAGAAUCUCAUAGUAACGCAAAGCAGGCUAUAUCUCACCAUCUUAUACCAGCUGAGGAUGAUGACGACGAUUCUGAUGUUGAUCUUUUUGGAGAGGAGACAGAGGAGGAAAAGAAGGCUGCAGAAGAACGUGCAGCGGCUGUCAAAGCCUCUGACAAAAAGAAAUAUCCGGAAAGUCUUCAAUUUUGUUGGAUGUGAAUCCAUGGGAUGAAGAGACAGAUGUGGCAAAGCUUGAGGAAACCGUGAGGAAUGUCCAGAUGGAAGGCCUCUCAUGGGGAAUGUGUAAGUAUCUUCUCUCAAAUAAUUGAUUCUGUCAAAACAUCUUACCUUCCUCUUAAUGUACUUAUGCUUCUCUCCUAUUUCUAUCACAACCAAACUUGUCGCAGUUGGAUAUGGUAUCAAGAAGUUGCAAAUUAUGAUAUAUGAUAUUUUUGGUCAUGUAAAAAAAAUCUAUCAUUUUAUUUUCUCUAGUUGCGCAAUACACUUUCAUAC